GCAGGCCCGGCUGGGGCGCUCGCCCUCCCCCUCUCUUUCUCCAUCCCCUCCCCUCCCCCACGCUCACGUGCUCCUGACCCCAAAGCGAGCGACGAUUGCCCAGCAGGUCACUGUGAAGUUGGGACACGUGAGUUGGCAGAGAUGAACUCUUUUUGCAGUGCACACCAACCCAGAGACGGCUAAACGAGCAUUCCCGAAGACCUGCACUCGGCUGACCAGGAGAGAAGAGCUUAUGAACUGGAUGAAAAGUCCACUGAAAUGGGAAGAAAUUAAACAGAGAGAAGAAAAGAAAAGAGGAAACUUUGUAGGACUGCUGUAAAAGAGAAAAGUGUACCACUGACGUAUAAGAAAUAUGGAACUUGGGGAAUAUGUGAAGCAGAAAGGACCAAAUGGAAGCAAAAACCUAUCGGACUUGAAUAGCAGAUUCCACAUAUAGUAGAAGAAAGAC
Long non-coding RNA from Eubalaena glacialis (North Atlantic right whale), 448 nucleotides. RefSeq lists it as uncharacterized. NCBI's taxonomy places the organism in Eukaryota, Metazoa, Chordata, Mammalia, Artiodactyla, Balaenidae. The record is from RefSeq and is a predicted model, not a curated record. The transcript is spliced from 5 exons.